GUGUUGUUCGGCAAUUUUAGCCGAAAUCGGAGAUUUUUGAUAUGUGGGUUACUUUAUGGGCCGGUAGUACGGUAAUCGUGGGAUUAUGCAACACGAACCCAGUUCAUCAAGCGUGACUUUAAUCUGUCAUUACACUGGAAUAGUAGUAGAUUUGCAUUUAUUUGUCAUUCGGCGAAGCUAGAAAACAUGUCUUUUUGUGGAUCUAAAAACAGAGCAAGAAGUGUUGCGGAGGGGGUGGUGAAAAACGAAUGUUUUGUGGAUGUUCUAAAUAUUGUGCCACAUGCAAUUUUUGUGCUUGUUAGUUUAUUUAUUUUGAUUGUAUGGUGUAAAUCAAAGUACUACAAUGCUACAUCAUGGGUACACUUCAGAGGCCACAAUGUACGGUGGUUCUUCUCACUGGUUCUGAUCGUCAUCAUUGUCACUGAAAUAGCAGAGGGGUUUAUGUCUGAUGCCCGAGAUCCUGACACCGUGAAUUACCAUGUCUUUAUUCCACCUAUCAUCGCCCUUGUAGCAACUAUUUUGAGUCUGGUAUUCUAUCACAACAUCGAACAGUGGAAUUCACCAAGAUUUUUACUUAUAAUCUUGGCAUACUGGAUGUCAGUGUUACCAAUAAAAAUCCUGAAGGGUGUUUCAUUGUACAAAAAUGGUACAUCUAUUGUCCAUGUGCGAGUGUGGUUGACCUGGAUUGAUGUGGCGCUGUAUAUGAUUUUACUGACAGUUGAGAUCAAUUUGCUAAGGGUUCAGAAAUAUGCCUUCUUCAAAAAUCCAGUUCCAACAAAAAUCCCACCUGAACUUGGAGGGAGUAAAUUUGUGUUCAAGCAUGUGAACUUCCUGUCCAAAGUCACAUUCUGGUGGCUGAAUGGAUUCCUUGCAGAUGGUUACAAAACUCCUUAUGAACAGGAACAUCUUGGGCAAUUGCCAAAGGAUAUUCAAACGGAGUCUGUAUAUAAAAGAUUUAAGGCUGUAUUUGAAGAUGAAUUGGAGAAGUGUAAGAGGAGUGGUAAGAAGCUCAAUUUCCACAAAGUGUACCUGAAGGUGUUUUGGAGGAACCUCUGCUUGGCGGGAAUUUUGAGGUUUUUUGGGGACAUAGUGCAGUUUGUGGGGCCAUGGUGUAUUGAACUGAUCAUCAAUUACGCCUACGCCCAAGUCAAGCUCCGAGAAAGUACCAACCCGACCAAUGGCAGCCUGACAUAUUCUGGCGUUUCAAAUGUUUCCCAAGCUGUAGUCGUAUACAACUCGUCUUCUGCGGUAUCCCUUGGCAAUUUUUCUGUUACCAUGGCAACACCACAAAAUACGGACAUUCACAAUUAUGUAACUGCCGGUGAAUUCUUUUCUAAUGGAUUCAUUUUGGCGGGUGUACUCCUCGUCCUCACCCUCCUGCAGAACAGCCUGUGGCAGCAACACCACCACCUCGUCAUUGUGGAGGCCGCCAAGUUUAGGGUCACAAUCCAGGCGAUGGUGUACAACAAGGGUCUUCACAUUUCCGGACUGGUCAUUAAUUCUGGGAAGAUGACGAUGGGUCAGAUCCUGAAUCAUAUGUCCCAGGAUGCAACCAAUAUGAUGCUUCUCUUUUUCUUUAUUCAUUACGUGUGGAGUGUGCCAUUGACGGUUAUUAUAGGGCUGGUACUGAUGUACAUGAAGAUGGGUUGGACUGCUCUGAUUGGUGGAUCAGUGGUGGUAAUGUCCGGCCCCCUUCAGUACUUCGUAGGAAAGGGCAUGUCCAACAUGCAGAAAAAAGUCAUGGCACAAUCUGAUAAGAGGGUGAAGAAAUGCAAUGAAGCAAUCCAGGGCAUCAAAGUCAUCAAACUGUUGGCGUGGGAGUACUUCUUUAGACAGGAUAUCGAAGCUUCAAGGAAGAUGGAGUUGAAACGCCUCUUCGCCAACUGUAUUUUCAGAAUACUUUUCACAUUCAUUUUGAUUGCGGUGCCUACCAUUGGAACUGUUGUGACUUUUGUUUUGUACCCAUCCUUAGAGGAGAGUCCAUUAAAUGUAGGGAAAGCAUUGUCCACUCUGGCCCUAUUUAACAUUCUGACCAUUCCUAUGGCUCUGUUCACAUACUUCAUUACCACCUUCAUCACUGCAAGGGUCAGCAUGAAACGUCUGGUGAACUUCCUGUUGGCAGAGGAAAACGAAGGCUUAGCUGACCAACCCAAGACUUUGACUCAUAGCAUUGGGAUUGAUACUGAGGAUAUAAAAAUGGACACCAUAGUGGAAUAUCGUAAUGGAACCAAAAAGACAUCCACUAGUCUGCAAAAGGACGAUGACCUGAGCAGCAGUCAGAGCUCUCUGGGGAGUAAUCUGUCACGGACGCCUGACCACAGCCGACACAACAGUAAAGGGUCCCUGCCGGAGAUGAUGGAGGGAAGCAGGCGAUCUAGUUCCCAGACGGCCUACACAGGGGCAGCUCUGACUGUGAAUGAUGGAAAGGACUCUCAGCGACGUCGUCACACAAGUGGUGUGUCCACGGAGGACGAGGAGGAAGUGGCAGAAAAUGUUACGGUAAUGGAGGCGAAGAACGUGUUUGAGAUCUGUGAUGGAGAAUUCUCCUGGCAUUUGAACAAAGAGGAUGAAUCAGCCUUGAAAAACAUCAAUGUCAAAAUUCCUGUAGGGAAACUUACCAUGAUUGUUGGUCAAGUUGGUGCUGGAAAAACAUCUCUGGUGUCAGCCAUACUAGGAGAAAUGACCACAAUUAGCGGACAUGUUGAAAUCACCAAGGGUGUAAGAAUCGCCUUUGUACCCCAGAAACCAUGGUUACUGAAUGCAACGCUGAAGGAUAACAUUUUGUUUGGAGAACCCUACAAUCAUAGGAGGUACACAAAGGUCAUUCAUUCUUGUGCCCUUCAGCCAGACAUUGCAACCCUCCCUGCUGGGGACCAAACAGAAAUCGGAGAGAAGGGGAUCAAUCUGAGCGGCGGACAGAAACAGAGGAUCAGCAUUGCCCGAGCAUUAUACUCCAAGGCAGACACUGUCAUUCUGGAUGAUCCAUUGUCUGCCCUGGAUGCUCAUGUUGGAAAGCACGUGUUUGAGGACGCCAUUGUCAAGUGCUUGGUCAGGCGUAAACGAUCGGUCAUCCUUGUCACUCAUCAAUUACAGUACAUCAGUCACUCUAAUUAUUUGAUUGCUAUGAAGGAUGGGAUGGUACAAUACCAGGGGAAGCUGAGCGAGGUGAAGAAGCAGGAACCUGAGUUGUACGAAUCCUGGAGGAAGGCACUGAGGGAGGCCAAGGCCUCAGAGUCAAGUCGAGAUCAUCAUGAGGAACCAAGGUCACCGGACCGUAGCAGUCCAUUUGACUACAGCAGACAGAUAUCAACACAGUCAAUUUUGUCCGGAGGCAGCCAACUGUUCAGCCGACAAAUGUCCGAAAUGUCUAACAUGGAGGAGGAGUGUCUGGACUUCUCGGAGAAAGACCCAUUGAAACAAGAUGACAAGAAAAUCGAUGGAGAAUUGGUUAAGAAAGAACACAAGGAAGUAGGCGCAGUGUCCCUCCGUGUAUAUGGCCAGUAUGUGGCAGCCUGCGGUGGGCUGUUCAUAUGCUUCAUGAUGAUGUUACAGGUCGGCUACCAUGUGCUGCUGGCGUGGAGCAACAUCGUUCUGUCCCAGUGGGCAGAAGACUCCACAGAGUUCCAGACCAAGUUAUCCAAUCUAAGCAAUGUAGGCUCAGCAAACGAGACCAGUAAUGUUACACUGAAAUUUGAUAAUGACAUUUACAUGCAUAAGUACCUACUAUUGAACAUCGUGGGAUUGCUAGGGGCCUUCAUUGCUAACCUGGUACUGUACUUGACUACACUCCGAGCUUCCAAGAAUCUCCAUUUCCGUCUUCUCGACACCAUUCUGCAUGUUCCCAUCAGGUUUUUUGACACGAAUCCCAGUGGUCGAAUCAUGAAUAGAUUUUCUGCAGAUGUGGCAGGAAUAGACCAGAGACUGCCCUUUAUAUUGGAGAGUUUUAUUCGUUGUGUUAUGGUGACUGUGUCGGCUUUGGCGGUUAACGCUAUCGGAACUCCAUACUUCCUAAUAGCUGUUUUACCUCUGACUAUUCUGUAUUACUGCUUGCAGUUCUUCUUCAGGGCCACAGCAAGAGAACUACAGAGGAUAGAAAGCGUGACCAAGUCUCCUGUUUUCUCGCAUUUAUCUGAAACACUCAGCGGCUUACAGACCAUAAGAGCUUUCAGAGCUGAGAAGAGAUUUAAGAAGAGGGCCUUCACACUUAUUGACAACAACAAUAUACCCUAUAUUUUCGUCAUGUCUAUAAAUAGAUGGCUUGGAAUACGACUGGAUUACAUAGGAUCUCUCUUGGUGUUUAUAUCAGCUGUGUCCAGUCUGGCGACCUGUCUGGCCGGACAUACCACCCCAGCCUACGUGGGACUCUCCCUGACAUAUGCAUUGCAGGUUUCUAUUUAUUUAAACUGGAUUGUACGUAACGCUGCAGAGAUGGAGCUGACAAUGAAUUCGGUGGAGAGGGUCGACGAAUUCAUCCAUUUGAAACGUGAGGUGAACACGCACCAUAAAGGUCACCACGAACUGGAGAAAGACUGGCCAAAUCACGGGAAAAUCGAAUUUAAAAAUGUCAGCUUAAAAUACGACACACAUCUUGACAAGGUGCUAAAUGAUGCAUGCUUUACAAUCAACCCCGGGGAAAAGGUCAGUAAUAGUGAACAGUCACAAUCUCUCACAAAGUCACUUCAAUCUGGAUUUCAAAAUAGUGUAUGAGGAUGUUUUUUUAAGUUAUGUUCCAAAAAAAAAAAGAAAGAAAAAUAUUUACUGGUAAUAUACAAGCUGUUGGUUAAUUGUUGGAAUUUUAUGUGAGUACAGGGAGACAAAUACGAACAGGGUCUCUGAUGUUUAAAAGGUAUGGCAUUCAUAUUUCAAGGGUUUUAUUUUUCUCCAAUCUUUCCCAAUUUUAACGUUGCUGUUGGUUGAGGUCAGUUUUACUUUGAUAUUUUAUAUAUUUAUUUAACCCCUCCCCCUCUUAAUUUUUUAAUAAAAUGAGGGAAACAGUGUAUUAUAUUUUACGAUUUAGGAGGUUCCCAGUUGCAUGAAGGAAAAUUGAUGGAGGACAGUGUAUAUGAUUUAGCGUAUUACAUUUGAUUCUUUAACAGGGUAUUGUUUUGUUUUUUAUGUAAUGAGUAUUUAUUUCAAAAUACAGUGAGUAACUAAGUACCUUAAUUAUAAAAUUUUGUUGUAAUGUGAAAUCUAAAUAAAAUUAUUUUUUCAAGAUAAUUAUCUGUGAAUAAAAUACAUGUAAUACCCAUUCAUAAGAUAAUGGGAAGAUUUUGAAGAUAUACCUAUUAGAUAUUUAUGUAUUGGGAACUAAAGGCACCACAACAUGUCAUUAAAAAAUAAUGAGGAGAAAACUCUUCAAAUACAUACAGUGCCAAUGCUAAACGAAAUUUGCUGUGUUCCCUAAUCAUUUUUAAUUGGGCCAUGAUGACAACCAGGGCACUUGCUGGAUCCAGGCAUGGCUUCAGGAGAUAGCCCCCCUCCCCCCCACCUGAAAUCAUAGUUUAUCAAUAAAAGUUUGAUCUAUUCAGAUUUUUUAGUUCUAUGCCAUCAUUUCUCCUAAAAUUUGCAAGGUCGCCUUUUUACAAGAAUAAGGUUUUCAUGAAUGAUAUUGUGUAUAUAGUAAUAAACGAAUUCAUUAUUUAUGGAAAUUAUGUUUAAGAUAAAUCUGACAAAGUAACACAGUGUUGAUAAAGUCCUAUAAAACAUGCGUGACCAACAGUGUUUACGACUUUGUCAGUACUAAAUGUUAACCUGAACAUGUAUAUCAUUGGCAAUAAUUAUGUGUAAUGCCAUUUUGUAUAUGUGUGGAUAUCUGUAAACAGACAUUGUGUUUUUAUUUCUUCUCUUCACAGUUCUGCACAUUUUUUAUAUUAAUUAUAAUUUUUUCCCCAUAAAAUAAGUUCGAGAUGCAUCAGAGUAAUUUCUUUGACAAGAAUUGUUUACUCGGUAAGGCAUAAAAAAGAAUUUGUUUACUCGCAGGGUUUUACAAAUGUCGAUAAUUGUCUACUCAGCACAGACAGAAUUUGUUUACACGCAGGGUUUUACAGAUGUCGAUAAUUGUCUACUCAGCACAGACAGAAUUUGUUUACUCGCAGGGUUUUACAGAUGUCGAUAAUUGUCUACUCAGCACAGACAGAAUUUGUUUACACGCAGGGUUUUACAGAUGUCGAUAAUUGUCUACUCAGCACAGACAGAAUUUGUUUAUUUGCAGGGUUUGAAAUGAAUGCCCAUGACUACAUUGGAUAAAUAAACUAUGUUAAUUGUACAAAGUAUAAUCACUGACUUCAGAUGAUACAAAAACAAAGCAUGAGAACUGAAGUCCGAGAGUAAAAGUAACAUAAAAGAAAUGCUUUUGAUAUCUUAUCAUAAUUAGGUUUAUUUUUCUUCUUAUUUUGCUGCUUAUUCAUACUAAAAGUAAGGUAUUAACAACAAAUAUGACAUUGUUUUCAUAUCUUUUUAUCAGAUAUUUUAUCGAUAUUCUAUUCUUAUGCCCCCGAGAUCGAAGAUCGGGGGCAUAUUGCUUUUGUCCUGUCUGUAAUUCUGUCAUCCUGUCUGAAACUGAACAGUAAGUGCUAGAGCUUUGAUAUUUCACAUGAGUAUUGACCUUUCCAUGGGUACUAUAGCUUUUGACCUUGACAUUUGACCUACUUUUAAAAAAUUGGCAUUGGUCAUAACUUCUAAAUGGUAAAUAUUAGAGCUUUCAUAUUGCAAUUUGAUAAAAAGUUCUUUUUUGCAUAGGUUGGAAUCUGUGGGCGAACAGGAAGUGGAAAAUCAUCCUUAACUUUGAGUUUGUUCCGUAUGAUUGACAUUUGUGAAGGAGAAAUUUACAUUGAUGAAAAAGACACAAAGAGAGUUCCUUUGGAGGAACUGAGGAGUAAACUAGCCAUAAUUCCACAGGACCCAGUCCUGUUCACAGGGACAGUCAGGCAAGUUACUACUAUCAGAAUCCAUGAUUCUACAGGACCCAGUCCUGUUCACAGGGACAGUCAGGCAAGUUACUACUAUCAGAAUCCAUGAUUCUACAGAACCCAGUCCUGUUCACAGGGACAGUCAGGCAAGUUACUACUAUCAGAAUCCAUGAUUCUACACAACCCGGUCCUAUCAGACAAGUUAGUACCAUCAAAAUCCAUAAUUCCACAGGACCUGGUCCUGUUUACCGUGACUAUCAGGCAAGUUACUAUUAUUGAAAUCCACUGGGAGAUUAGAGCUGAAAAACAGUAGUUUCACUUUUAGAAAAUAGUAGUUGAAGAUCUGCCGAAGUCUGGACAGCUGGUGAUUCUGUAACAUUAAUUUUUUUUAAACAAACGCACAAAUAAGUUUCAUUGAUUUUAUUACAUGCCUGUAACAGUAAGAGAACUGGAAAAAAGAAGGGGAAAAAACAAGAAACAGUAAAAUGAAACAUUAGCUAAUCUCACAUUUUUUAACUUGCCAUGUUAAAAUCUUACUUUCUCUUUAUUCAAAAUAUUUCAAAGCGGUUUAUCAAAUUUAUUAUUGAGGUACAAAACCAGUGAAGUUCAACAUCGGCCAUAUUUGUUUAGGACCAGUAGUCGUGCACCCGGAUGUAGCAGUAAAAUGAGGCCAAGAAAACACAUUUUAUUGUUUGAUACAAUCUUGAUCCUCAAGGUGAAAUUCCUGAUGAGAAGCUAUGGGCAGCACUGGAGACUGUUCAGCUGAAAGAAUCUAUAGCAGAGCUUCCAGAUAAACUAGAAGACAUCUGAAUUUUGCAAGAGAAGAGGCUGUCAAUCGACUUCAAAAAGUGCCAUACUCAAUAGACACUAUAGAUGGCCAUGUUCCACCAAAACCCUGUGAUUGGGUAUUCCCGAAAGAGUAUGAAGAUAAAUUCAAAAAAAAAUUAAAGGUUGAUGAUGACCUAUAUAGGAGAGAAAACAACUUUCUAUUAAAACCACAUGGUCCAAUCUGGGAAAAACUUGUUGACAUGUACCAAUUACAGCAAGAUGCUUCUAAAUCAGCAUACCACAUACACAGAUACUGUUCUGAAUUCUCUUUUCUGACACAUUAUAGCUUUGCUACAUAUCGUCCUGAUGAUAACUGGAGGAAUGGUCCUGUUCUUCGUCAUGAAAUUCAACCAAUAAUUGAUAUAUCUCGUUUGCCGGACUUUCAUUACUUACCAUAUGAAGAAGCAGUUCAACUUGUUGAAACAAUGAGGGAGACAGAGGGCUUUUUGCCAGAAUUUGUUUAGAUACCUGACUUUUUUCUGCCAUCAAGGAACAUAAAAUACAUCCUUGAGAAUAGCCCAGAGGAGCUACAAUCAGAUAUACAACCCAUCUCACAAUUAAUUGGUGUCUCUGAGGAGGAAAUAUAUGCAUAUGUUAAAAAACUUGAGGACAAAGAGAAAGCAAAAGAAGACCGGGAGAGGGUGAUGCAACAAUUUAAAGAUUCGCCUCUUUUAAAAUUGACUGUGAAAGAAAUGAAACAAUUGCUCACUGAUCAUUUUAAAUAUAGGUGUCAUUCCUCAUUAAAACUCAAGGCGGACUUUUUAGUAUUGUUACAAGAACUCUUUACCAAAAACAAAAUGGAUGAUGCAAGAAUCCAUAAAAUUGUGAAAGACUUUAAAGAUAAAAGUUAAUGACCUAAAGCUAUGGCAUAAUGUCAUCUUUUAUAAAAGUGCAAACUAUAUUUAAUGCUUACAUUAACUGAUUAUUUUGUUUUAAUCUUGAUAUAUAGUAUUUAUGUGUAAAACAUUUAAAAGACAUCUUCUUUAAUGCUAUUGAUACUAAAUUGAAGCCAAAUGGAUAUUUAAAAUGAGCAGGUAGCCCUUUACCAAAAUUGUAAAUUUGAUGAUCCCAGGGGUGGGGGUUUUGGUAUUAGGGUGGGGCCAAAAUGGUCAGUGAUUAAAUCUGUUAACAAUUGAACAUUUUUAACUUCUUCUUGAUAACUACACCAUUACAAUUCUUUUAAAAUUUGGUAUGAAGCAUCUUUGGGACAAGGCUGACAUAAAUUGUAAAUUUCAGGACUCCUGCACCCUUGGGGGCCUUAGAGGUGGGGCAAAAAUUGACCAAUUUUCAAAAAUCUUCUUCUCUAGAACCCCACAUGUAUAAGAAAAACUAAAUACAUAGUGAUGUAGAGCAGGAAGGUCCUCUACCAAAAUUGUAAAUUUUAUGAUCCUCAGGGUAGGGGUUCUGACUCCAGGGUGGGGCCAAACUUGGUAUAUAUAGUGUAUAUGUUAAAUAAUAUCUUCUUUAAUGCUGUUGAUACUAAAAUGAUACUAAAUAGAUAUUUUGAAGGAGUAAGUAGUCCUUUACCAAAAUUGUAAAUUUCAUGAUCCUUGUGGGUAAGGGUUUGGUUCCAGGAUGGAGCCAAAAUUAUUAUAGUGAUUAUUGUCUUUAUCAUUUGAAAGACUUCUUGAAGUUUGCUGAUAUGGUAUAAAAACUAAAUACAUAUGUAGGAAAAGCAGAAAAGGAUGUACCAAAAUUGUGAAUUUUGCAACCCCAGGGUUUUUACUCUAGGGCAGGUCAAAAUUAGUCAUUUUGCGUUGAUGUUACAUAUAUUAUGCAAUGCCUUUCAUCAGCAUAGGUUCUUUUGAGAGCAUAUAAGUUUAAAGAACACAUCUUGUUUUAUACAUGUACUUUUGCUGAAUAUUAGAAUUUAGCUUAGAUGUUCAGAACAGGAAAUUUUUAGCAGCCCUUGGGACUAGUGAUACUUUUAACUAAUACUCAGGUGACCGAUAAGGCCUGUAGGCCUCUUGUUUAGAACAAAGAUGGAUACUGUCCAGAGAGUGGCAACAAUAAAGACUAAACAUUUA
This is an RNA transcript of Ostrea edulis (European flat oyster), 9763 nucleotides long. It is a transcript of the gene named ATP-binding cassette sub-family C member 8-like, with no coding region annotated. The record is from RefSeq and is a predicted model, not a curated record. The transcript is spliced from 30 exons. Lineage: Eukaryota; Metazoa; Mollusca; Bivalvia; Ostreida; Ostreidae.